This 420-nucleotide ribosomal RNA is filed under the name Fusobacteriota bacterium. Its description in RNAcentral is "Fusobacteria bacterium partial 16S ribosomal RNA". It matches the Rfam family "Bacterial small subunit ribosomal RNA", at positions 355 to 776 of the family's 1533-position model. The record is from RNAcentral. Lineage: Bacteria; Fusobacteriati; Fusobacteriota.
UGGGGGAUAUUGCACAAUGGGCGAAAGCCUGAUGCAGCGACGCCGCGUGGGGGAUGAAGGCCUUCGGGUUGUAAACUUCUUUUGCUCUGAACAAGGCAUGCCUUUGGGGUGUGUUGAGUGUAGGGGUUGAUUAGCGCCGGCUAACUACGUGCCAGCAGCCGCGGUAAUACGUAGGGCGCGAGCGUUGUCCGGAAUUAUUGGGCGUAAAGGGCUUGUAGGUGGCUGGUUGCGUCUGUCGUGAAAGCUCAUGGCUUAACUGUGGGUUUGCGGUGGGUACGGGCUGGCUUGAGUGCAGUAGGGGAGGCUGGAAUUCCUGGUGUAGCGGUGGAAUGCGCAGAUAUCAGGAGGAAUACCGGUGGCGAAGGCGGGUCUCUGCGCUGUUACUGACGCUGAGGAGCGAAAGCGUGGGGAGCGAACAGG